GGCCGCCUGGCGAAAUGGCAUCGCGUCUGACUACGAUGAAAGUUUGAUCAGGAGAUUGCAGGUUCGACCCCUGCGGUGGUCA
Molecule: non-coding RNA, 82 nt
Organism: Paramarasmius palmivorus
Lineage: Eukaryota; Fungi; Basidiomycota; Agaricomycetes; Agaricales; Marasmiaceae
Source: the annotation of a GenBank genome assembly